This 77-nucleotide transfer RNA is filed under the name uncultured Desulfatiglans sp. RNAcentral describes it as "tRNA-Pro". It matches the Rfam family "tRNA". Rfam says of the family: Transfer RNA (tRNA) molecules are approximately 80 nucleotides in length. Their secondary structure includes four short double-helical elements and three loops (D, anti-codon, and T loops). Lineage: Bacteria; Pseudomonadati; Thermodesulfobacteriota; Desulfobacteria; Desulfatiglandales; Desulfatiglandaceae. The record is from RNAcentral.
CGGGACGUAGCGCAGUCUGGNAGCGCACCUGAAUGGGGUUCAGGGGGUCGGAGGUUCAAAUCCUCUCGUCCCGACCA